GAAUGAGAUUCGACUCGAGGGCGUAAAACCUCUCGAGUCGUCAACCUCCACCCUUGUGUAUCAUUCAAUUGUUGCUUUGGUGGGCCGCGAACCUAACGGUGAGCACCGGCUUCGGCUGGAGAGUGCCUGCCAGAGGACCCAAAACUCUGAAUGUUAGUGUCGUCUGAGUACUAUAUAAUAGUUA
RNAcentral lists this unclassified non-coding RNA (184 nucleotides) under uncultured Arachnopeziza. Its description in RNAcentral is "sequence contains ITS1". Lineage: Eukaryota; Fungi; Ascomycota; Leotiomycetes; Helotiales; Hyaloscyphaceae. The record is from RNAcentral.